UGAUUUAUAUAAAUUAUAUAUUAAUAAUUUUUAAAUAAAAUAUUUUUUAUUUUUAUUAUAUUUUUAAGAAAUGAUUAAUUUUAUGAUAGUUGAUUAGUAUAGUAAUAGAAUUUUCAAAUAGAAAAAGUUAAGAAAAAAUUAAUUUUUGUACCUUGUGUAUCAGGGUUUAUUAAUUAAUAUUUACUUAGGUAAAAUUCUCGAUUUUAAAAGAGUGAGUUAUUUAUAUAUUUUAUUGUAAAAUAAAUAUUUAAAAUAAAUAAUUAGUAAUGAAACGUUAUUCGUUUUUAAAUAUAUCUAGUUUUUAAAGAAAAAAAUUUAAUUUUAUUUAUAUAAAUAUUUUAUUUUAAAUUUUAAUAGUAAAGUUUUAUGUAAGUUAUAUUAUAAGGGAUAAGCUUUAUAGUAAAUAAUUAUAAGUUGAUGUAUUUAAUUUAAAAUGUAGGAUUAUAAAUUUUUAUCAAAUAAUUUGUUAUAAUUAAUUAAAUUUAAUUAAAGAUUUAUAUUGACUUUAAGUUUUUUAUUUAAAUAUUAAAUUUAAUAAUAAAGUUUAAAUAUUAAUGAUAAAAUUAGUAUAAUUAAAUGUAGGGUUAAAUUAGAUAAUAUAGGUUUUAAAAAGGAAUUCGGCAAAUAAAUUUUUCGCCUGUUUAUUAAAAACAUGUCUUUUUGAUUUUAAUUUAAAGUCUAGCCUGCCCACUGAUAUAUUAAAUGGCCGCAGUAUUUUGACUGUGCAAAGGUAGCAUAAUCAUUAGUUUUUUAAUUAAGAACUGGAAUGAAAGGUUGGACGAGAAAAUAUCUGUCUCUUUAAAAAUUAUUUAGAAUUUUAUUUUUAAGUUAAAAAGCUUAAAUUUUGUUGAAAGACGAGAAGACCCUAUAGAGUUUUAUAUAUUAAUUAAUAUUUAAUUAAAAUUGAAUUUUUUUAAUAUUAUUAAUUUGUGUAUUUAAUUGGGGUGAUUAAAAAAUUUAUUUAACUUUUUUUUUAUUUUAACAUAAAUUUAUGAAUUGUUGAUCCAUUAAUAAUGAUUAUAAGAUUAAAUUACCUUAGGGAUAACAGCGUUAUUUCUUUUAAGAGUUCUAAUCGAUAAAGAAGUUUGCGACCUCGAUGUUGGAUUAAAAUUAAUCUUUGGUGUAGAAGCUAAAGGGUUAGGUCUGUUCGACCUUUAAAAUUUUACAUGAUCUGAGUUUAAACCGGUGUGAGCCAGGUUGGUUUCUAUCUUUAAUUAUAGUUUAUAUUUCAGUACGAAAGGACCAGAUAUGAGUAAAAAUUAUUAUUUUUUGAGUGUUAUU
This 1281-nucleotide ribosomal RNA is filed under the name Staphylinidae sp. BMNH 1274641. RNAcentral's name for it is "16S ribosomal RNA". The stretch from base 1041 to 1199 matches the Rfam family "Bacterial large subunit ribosomal RNA", at positions 2473 to 2632 of the family's 2925-position model. The record is from RNAcentral. Lineage: Eukaryota; Metazoa; Arthropoda; Insecta; Coleoptera; Staphylinidae.